CUGGAAUAAUGCUAAGGUAUCUGCUAAAGUUGAUUCCGAUCCGGCAAAUACAGCAUAGAUUACGCAGCACUGGUUGAUUAAUAAUAGCCUAGGGUUUUGACCGACCACGUCGUGCAGGGGUGAGCGCGCUCCUCUUCCGAUCCCACCAGUGUCAAGUCGCGGUUAAUUUUCCCUCGGAAACUAAAUUAAUACGCGUAUGCAGGAUUUCAAAAGGAUGGCUGCACCGUUAAAUUUUUAUAGAUAUUGGUAUGAUAUAGGAACAACAAGUAUAAAGAAAAAAUCAAAGAAAAAUUUUAAACAUUCAAAUAAUCAAUAAUAUUUCAACCCAACUUAAGUACUUCACAAAUCAAAGAAAAAAGAUAAAGAAACAAAAGAAGCAGUAAGAUUGAUAAAGAAAUUGGAAAAAUAUGUGACCUUAGUUUGCAAAAAAAUUGGUAUUUUGCUAUUGUAAAAGACUUGGGGCUAGAGAGUGUUUUCUAGAGAGUUGCUUUUGAUUUAGGGAUUUUGAAAAGUGACUAAAGGAAGGAGUUGUGCACUAUUAUUAGGUAAUAAAAAGAGGAAAAGAAAAACAAAAUCGUCUCUGCCAAAGGAGCAGAAAACUUUACAUGGUGGG
Molecule: long non-coding RNA, 613 nt
Filed under: Nicotiana tabacum (common tobacco)
Lineage: Eukaryota; Viridiplantae; Streptophyta; Magnoliopsida; Solanales; Solanaceae
Description: long non-coding RNA (NTAB_LNC018548)
Source: RNAcentral